Molecule: small nuclear RNA, 112 nt
Filed under: Erinaceus europaeus (western European hedgehog)
Lineage: Eukaryota; Metazoa; Chordata; Mammalia; Eulipotyphla; Erinaceidae
Description: U2 spliceosomal RNA
Rfam family: U2 spliceosomal RNA
About the family: U2 is a small nuclear RNA (snRNA) component of the spliceosome (involved in pre-mRNA splicing).
Source: Rfam by way of RNAcentral
AUCACUUCUCGGCCUUUUGGCUAAGAUCAAGUAUAGUAUCUGUUCUUAUCAGUUUAAAAUUUUAACUGGGGGCAGGGGUAGAUAUCAUAAUGAUUAUUCAAAGAGACUCUUG